GUGGGAGGGGGCUUGCUCCCGAUGGCAUUGGGUCAGUAAGUAGAUGGGUUGGCUGAUGCACCGCUAUCGGGAGCAAGCCCCCUCCCAC
Molecule: unclassified non-coding RNA, 88 nt
Filed under: Pseudomonas synxantha
Lineage: Bacteria; Pseudomonadati; Pseudomonadota; Gammaproteobacteria; Pseudomonadales; Pseudomonadaceae
Source: RNAcentral